This 502-nucleotide ribosomal RNA is filed under the name uncultured archaeon. RNAcentral describes it as "bacterial SSU rRNA". It matches the Rfam family "Archaeal small subunit ribosomal RNA", at positions 325 to 829 of the family's 1478-position model. The record is from RNAcentral.
ACGGGGUGCAGCAGUCGCGAAAACUCCACACUGGGGGUAACCCCGAUGAGGGAAUUCCAAGUGCUAGUACAGAGUAUUAGCUUUUCUUCAGUAUAGAUAGCUGGGGGAAUAAGGGCUGGGUAAGACGGGUGCCAGCCGCCGCGGUAAUACCCGCAGCCCAAGUGGUGGUCGAUAUUAUUGAGUCUAAAACGUUCGUAGCCGGUUCGAUAAAUCCUUGGGUAAAUCGGUCAGCUUAACUGACCGACUUCCGAGGAGACUGCCGAACUUGGGACCGGGAGAGGCUAGAGGUACUUCUGGGGUAGGGGUAAAAUCCUGUAAUCCUAGAAGGACCACCGGUGGCGAAGGCGUCUAGCUAGAACGGAUCCGACGGUGAGGAACGAAGCCCUGGGGCGCAAACGGGAUUAGAUACCCCGGUAGUCCAGGGUGUAAACGCUGCAGACUUGGUGUUGGGGACCCUUCGGGGGUAUCCAGUGCCGGAGAGAAGUUGUUAAGUCUGCUACUU